RNAcentral lists this unclassified non-coding RNA (637 nucleotides) under Hevea brasiliensis (rubber tree). Lineage: Eukaryota; Viridiplantae; Streptophyta; Magnoliopsida; Malpighiales; Euphorbiaceae. The record is from RNAcentral.
UGUUUGUCAUGCUGAAGUUAAUGCCAUCCUGAAUACAAAUCAUGCAUCUGCUGCAGGACAGAGGCUUUACGUGACAAUGUUUCCUUGCAAUGAAUGCGCAAAGAUUAUCAUUCAAUCUGGUGUUUCAGAAGUUAUUUAUUUUGUGGAGAAGAGAUUAGACGGUUCUGACACAGCGUAUGUUGCUUCGCACAAACUUCUGUCAUUGGCUGGCAUUAAGGUAAGGAGGCAUCAGCCACAGAUGAAAGAAAUCUCUAUCAAUUUUGAAGAACUAUAGACACUCCUCGACGACGUGCUCUUCUGUAGGCCUUAAUGUAUCUUAUGGAUCUCUCUUGGGUUAAAGAUGAAAGAUGGAUGUAAAUUAGUAAUGCUGCUAAGAGGGUUGAGGACUCGCAACUCUUAUACUAUGAUGGGUGUUCAAUUAUUGAGAUGUGUACCAAGUGCUUGUAACUGCUCACUUUAAGAUGAAAAGCUGCCUUCACUGGUUAGUGUAAAGCUGAUGAGUUAACUUCCCAUUAGGCAAAUUUAACAGAUGUUUUACUACAAUUAAAUUAGUUUUAUGUCGAUAAAAGUGUGGUAAUACGUUGAUGUGUAUCCUAUUCAUUGGAAGUUUAAUACAGAAAAAACAUACUUAUGUGGG